GACGAACGCUGGCGGCGUGCUUAACACAUGCAAGUCGAACGGAAAGGCUCUGCUUUUGUGGGGUGCUCGAGUGGCGAACGGGUGAGUAACACGUGAGUAACCUGCCCUUGACUUUGGGAUAACUUCAGGAAACUGGGGCUAAUACCGGAUAGGAGCUCCUGCUGCAUGGUGGGGGUUGGAAAGUUUCGGCGGUUGGGGAUGGACUCGCGGCUUAUCAGCUUGUUGGUGGGGUAGUGGCUUACCAAGGCUUUGACGGGUAGCCGGCCUGAGAGGGUGACCGGCCACAUUGGGACUGAGAUACGGCCCAGACUCCUACGGGAGGCAGCAGUGAGGAAUAUUGCACAAUGGGCGGAAGCCUGAUGCAGCAACGCCGCGUGCGGGAUGACGGCCUUCGGGUUGUAAACCGCUUUCGCCUGUGACGAAGCGUGAGUGACGGUAAUGGGUAAAGAAGCACCGGCUAACUACGUG
RNAcentral lists this ribosomal RNA (468 nucleotides) under uncultured bacterium. RNAcentral describes it as "partial 16S ribosomal RNA". It matches the Rfam family "Bacterial small subunit ribosomal RNA", at positions 28 to 507 of the family's 1533-position model. The record is from RNAcentral.